AACAAAAGUUAUGAAAGGUCUAUCUCUGUAGGGAUCCUUCACAUAAGUUGUCAGACACUUAAAUUAACAAUCUGAGCCUGUCAGUGGCAAAAACAAGCACUCAGAGUUGAGAGAAAUUGAUGGUGCCGAAUGCCCCAAGUGGUGACAUUACUGCCGGUGCCAGCUCCCUCAAUACUGGCCCAAUUGUAAAAAUGAUUGUCCCCAUUAGUCAUGUAGGCUUAAGGACAAUGGCGUCCACGUUGAAAAAUACAGAAUUUCCCCCCCAAGAGUUGUGGAACCUAACAAGUGCAUCUUGUAUUAUCUUUUUAAAAUAACCACACUGCAGUUUUGCGCUGUACACACCAAUGUUUACAGUCGAAUAAACAAAUCAACCUUUUUUAGCAUAACCAUAACUACAAUGGUAUAUCAGAGCAAACAUCGUGCUACAAAAAUAAAUAUCAGUGACAAUAAUAUCUGAUAAUUCCCUCCGUAAUGGUAUUUUGAUUUUAGCCCUUACAUGAAUGAACAGGUGCAGCUUUAUUGUCAGACAGGACCUGUUCUAUACUAUUUAUUCAUUCACUGUUAUCACUACAGUGUUACGGAGAUCAGAUUGAAUUAAUCACAAUAUUAUGUACACCUUCUCUGGGUCUGUAGCUAUACCUGUCUGGUAGUUCUGACUAUUUCUAGAGUUUAAAAUCAGGGGGAAAAAGCCUGGAGGCAGCUGAUGCCACUUGACUGCUAGUCAUAUGACACAAUGGACACUAACAAAAUGAAAGGGUAAUAGAACAGUAAAGCAUCAGUUUGUUCCUGUGACUGCAAAAGUCCACCCUCACUUACACUACAUAUUUUACUGUGGCUAGUUUCUUUGACAUGCAGCCGAGUUACAAUUGUCUUUGUUUUUCUAGAUCAAGGGAAUCCUUUGCCUCAGUUUCUGAUCCCAGUCUUGGCACUUCUGGCAUUAACAGGACUCAUCAUAAUCAGCCUGCUCCUCUCCAAAAACCAGGGUUUGAGGCACCCCGGAGCCUUUAAUGGAUAGGACAGACAAGUGUGAAAGGGGGAGAGAGAGAGGGAGUGACA
Molecule: non-coding RNA, 1056 nt
Organism: Epinephelus lanceolatus (giant grouper)
Lineage: Eukaryota; Metazoa; Chordata; Actinopteri; Perciformes; Serranidae
Source: RefSeq, a predicted model, not a curated record